ACAGAUUUGAUGGGGACCAGAAGACUCUCAGUAAGCACCACCUAGAACACACACCUGGCGGUGGAUGAAGACCACAGAGCCUAGGAGCCUCCAAGUCCCUCCCUGGCGGUCGACAUGCAGCAUCCGCAGGAUCUGGAGGAAGCGGAUACCCCUGAGAGGGGACGUGCAGUGGGCAGAUCCGCAUCAUUGGGGAGAUUUUCUGAGGCUCAAUGUGUUUUGAAAUCCUGUGCUGCCGGCACCACAUGAUUUAGAGGCGCUAAGAAGGUCCCUCCUGCCCGCCCGCCAAAUGCUCCCUAGGGCAGACAGCAGGGCUACAGGGAGUCGCCAGCUCAGAGCAGCCCACAUCCUGCCCUUC
Long non-coding RNA from Otolemur garnettii (small-eared galago), 355 nucleotides. RefSeq lists it as uncharacterized. The transcript has 3 exons. The record is from RefSeq and is a predicted model, not a curated record. NCBI's taxonomy places the organism in Eukaryota, Metazoa, Chordata, Mammalia, Primates, Galagidae.